Molecule: unclassified non-coding RNA, 224 nt
Filed under: uncultured fungus
Lineage: Eukaryota; Fungi
Description: partial contains 18S rRNA, ITS1 and 5.8S rRNA
Source: RNAcentral
UGGUGAACCAGCGGAGGGAUCAUUACCGAGUUGAACAACUCCCAAACCCCCUGCGAACCUUACCCCACGCGUUGCCUCGGCGGGACCGCCCCGGCGCCCCAGCGGCCCGGACCAAGGCGCCCGCCGGAGGACCCCCAGACUCUCCUGUCGCAGUGGCAUUUCUCUCCGAGUCAAGAAACAAGCAAAUGAAUCAAAACUUUCAACAACGGAUCUCUUGGUUCUGG